RNAcentral lists this transfer RNA (64 nucleotides) under Graptodytes pietrii. Its description in RNAcentral is "tRNA-Pro". The record is from RNAcentral. RNAcentral also lists the same sequence under 1 other name. Lineage: Eukaryota; Metazoa; Arthropoda; Insecta; Coleoptera; Dytiscidae.
CAGAGAAUAGUUUAAAAAAAAUAUUAAUUUUGGAGAUUAAUGAUAGAAGAAAUUUUUUCUCUGA